Molecule: ribosomal RNA, 887 nt
Filed under: Rahnella sp. 2Sf41
Lineage: Bacteria; Pseudomonadati; Pseudomonadota; Gammaproteobacteria; Enterobacterales; Yersiniaceae
Description: bacterial SSU rRNA
Rfam family: Bacterial small subunit ribosomal RNA
Source: RNAcentral
UCCGGCCACGUGUAUGUACUAUUUUUUGUUUAUCCGGGUUUAAUAAAGGGUGGGGCAGGCCUAAAAAGGCAUGUUGCGGUAGACCGGAGAGCUGCUUUUUGUGAACAAGCGCGGACGGGGAGGUAAGUUUGGAACCUGCCUGAUGAGGGGGAUAAUACUUGAAACGGUAGCUAAUACCGCAUGAUGUCGCAAGACCAAAGUGGGGGACCUUCGGGCCUCACGCCAUCGGAUGUGCCCAGAUGGGAUUAGCUAGUAGGUGGGGUAAUGGCUCACCUAGGCGACGAUCCCUAGCUGGUCUGAGAGGAUGACCAGCCACACUGGAACUGAGACACGGUCCAGACUCCUACGGGAGGCAGCAGUGGGGAAUAUUCGCACCACUGCGCGCAAGCCUGAUGCAGCCAUGCCGCGUGUGUGAAGAAGGCCUUAGGGUUGUAAAGCACUUUUAGCGAGGAGGAAGGCGUUGUAGUUAAUAGCUGCAACGAUUGACGUUACUCGCAGAAGAAGCACCGGCUAACUCCGUGCCAGCAGCCGCGGUAAUACGGAGGGUGCAAGAAGAUUAAUCGGAAUUACUGGGCGUAAAGCGCACGCAGGCGGUUUGUUAAGUCAGAUGUGAAAUCCCCGAGCUUAACUUGGGAACUGCAUUUGAAACUGGCAAGCUAGAGUCUUGUAGAGGGGGGUAGAAUUCCAGGUGUAGCGGUGAAAUGCGUAGAGAUCUGGAGGAAUACCGGUGGCGAAGGCGGCCCCCUGGACAAAGACUGACGCUUCAGGUGCGAAAGCGUGGGGAGCAAACAGGAUUAGAUACCCUGGUAGUCCACGCUGUAAACGAUGUCGACUUGGAGGUUGUGCCCUUGAGGCGUGGCUUCGCGGAGCUAACGCGUUAAGUCGAC